Molecule: long non-coding RNA, 853 nt
Filed under: Equus caballus (horse)
Lineage: Eukaryota; Metazoa; Chordata; Mammalia; Perissodactyla; Equidae
Description: lncRNA (ENSECAG00000044145.1)
Source: RNAcentral
UGUUUACACCUGGCGGCCAUCCUUUAAUUUAAAAGGCAGCGCGCAGUUAUAAAGAAGACUUGGGACGUAACCUGGCCUGAGAAGCAGGCGUGCUGCCCCUUUGGGUCUCCUGCAAGCUGAUCCAGAUGGGAUGAUAAAACGUCAAAAAUAACUGCAAUUAAACAGUAUGAAGAUAAACAAAGUCAAGAAGGUACCGCAUACUGCAUAAGCAAGACUUUCGUCACUGCCUGCUCUGGGUUCAGUCACUCAACUUAGGAGGCUCAGUUUCUCCCCGGGAUUGUUACGAUGGUCGUCUGUGCUGCCGUGAAUGCUGAGGAUGGCGUGUGGUGUGUGCAGGCAACACUGGGGCACCCCCUUCAGACAUGGGGAAAGAAGACUGCCAAGCAUUCGAAGGCCACGCAGCUGAGACGUGGCAGAGCUUGGGUUAAAAUCUUGUAAUGCUGACCUGCAAGGCCGGCACUGCCUCCGCCACACGCACUUCCGCCCACCGUGACGCGCUGCUUCCACCAUCAUGCACUUCUGCCAGGACGUGUGGCCUCGCAUCCGUGCUCCUUUGUGGGCAGCCUUCAUCCUUUGUAACGUAGAAUGGUUAUGAGUGGCUGGUCAGGUGGAUGGAAAUUUUCUAAAAUACAUCAGACCAUUUCUUUUGUUGCUUUCUGAGACGGAAUACAUGGAAAUUAACAAAACAUCUUAAGAACAAUUUUACUUUUUUCAAAUAUUCAAAUAGAUUUUUCUGAAUUGAACAUUGAUUUUGGCCCUGCGCUAUAAUUUAAUGAAAUCCUUAGUCAUUAACUCUGCCCCAUAAGCUAUGUAACCCCAGAAGUUUCCAUGAUUAAAAACAUUUCUGACAUCA